Molecule: ribosomal RNA, 424 nt
Filed under: uncultured prokaryote
Description: bacterial SSU rRNA
Rfam family: Bacterial small subunit ribosomal RNA
Source: RNAcentral
UGGGGAAUCUUGGACAAUGGGGGCAACCCUGAUCCAGCCAUGCCGCGUGAGUGAUGAAGGCCUUAGGGUUGUAAAGCUCUUUCGACGGGGACGAUAAUGACGGUACCCGUAGAAGAAGCCCCGGCUAACUUCGUGCCAGCAGCCGCGGUAAUACGAAGGGGGCUAGCGUUGUUCGGAAUUACUGGGCGUAAAGCGCGUGUAGGCUGACCGAUCAGUCAGGGGUGAAAUCCCGGGGCUCAACCCCGGAACUGCCUUUGAUACUGUCGGUCUGGAGUCCGGAAGAGGUGAGUGGAAUUCCGAGUGUAGAGGUGAAAUUCGUAGAUAUUCGGAGGAACACCAGUGGCGAAGGCGGCUCACUGGUCCGGUACUGACGCUGAGACGCGAAAGUGUGGGGAGCAAACAGGAUUAGAUACCCGGGUAGUCC